UUCAUUAUCAGGCGCAAUUGGCUAGCGCGUUCGACUGUUACAACACAGACAAAUCGAGAGGUUGGUGGUUCGAGCCCACCCGAGGGAG
Molecule: non-coding RNA, 88 nt
Organism: Calycina marina
Lineage: Eukaryota; Fungi; Ascomycota; Leotiomycetes; Helotiales; Pezizellaceae
Source: the annotation of a GenBank genome assembly